CCCAGACCCCCUUCCCGGAAGGUCCCGCGGAACCACGGGUCGGGGGGGCUCGCAGGCCGGGCGCCCUUGCAGAGUCUGGGCGCCCCGGGCCUGACCCGCGCCCUGCCUGCUGGGGCCACCCCUCGGCCGGGGCAGGCUCCCAGACCCAGCACCCGCUUCCUCCCCGGGGCGGAGCCGGGCGGCCGCAAGCCAAGCGCCGUAAAAUUUAAAGAGCUGGGGGUAGUGAGAUGAGCCAGUCGAAGCCUGCUUUGGGGAGUGCACUGCGAGUGGGGGAGACAGGCUGUCUCUCAAAGGGAAGGAGUCCCUACCCAGGCACAUGGCAGCGUGAUGCAAACAUGCAUGGUGCCUUGAAAGGUGGGAACCAAAAAUGGAAGAAGAAGGGGUCUACACCUGCCCACUGGUCAGGAACACCCAUUUUGGAUUUAUAGAAGCCAGAAAUAAACUUUUAUCAUGUUGGAGUCAUAGA
Long non-coding RNA from Lutra lutra (Eurasian river otter), 466 nucleotides. RefSeq lists it as uncharacterized. The record is from RefSeq and is a predicted model, not a curated record. The transcript is spliced from 4 exons. Lineage: Eukaryota; Metazoa; Chordata; Mammalia; Carnivora; Mustelidae.